AGCCAAAGAAUUUCUUGUAAUGUCAAAAAGGUCAAACACUCACUACUUCCAGUUGGGGGCAAGUACUCUCUUGGUCUUGUAGUAGCGGGCAAGCCUGUGGAUUCUGCUCUCAACCAGAAUCAGGCGGAACUUAGCAUCCUUGUCCUGCAAGACCACAAGUGACAAAGAUGAGACAAAACAGCUGAAACACAUUGGACUAAUUUUUCCAUGAUUCUUCAAAAAUGAUCAUCUGCACUGUAAAGAUGCAGGUAAUAUGAAUGUCUGUUUUAUUACCUUUCUGUUCCUUUCCAAGUGCUUCCUCACAGCGACAGCCUUCUUGAUGAGGUGGUAGAGAUCCUCAGGAUCUUGUUGCCAGUGACAAAACGCACCUGAGCAACACCAUGGGAAUCCCUCAGAAUCACACCUAAUGAGAAAACGGCAGGUGAUAUUAGUUACACAAUGACAUUGUGCAGACAGACACAACACAGACAUCUAAUACACAAAUAUGAAAACACAAGAUAGAAAAAAAAGGAUGUAUAAGCAUCUAUAAGCAUUGAGCCUAUAGAUAAACAUCAAAUUAACACAGAAGCAUUCUCUUCUACUGGAAAGCAGCUUACAAAUGUCAAAUGUGCGUCCGCUGUAACCAUUUUACUCAUUACAUUUAUUCAUAUUAGUAGAUUGUUUCCUUUAAUGUUCUUAAUUGAUUUCAAACUUGUCUUCGCAUGAUCACGGUGUUCUAAAAUGCGCUAGAACAAUCUUGAGAAAUUAUUGUUAUACAACGGACCUGACUGCACUUGGUAAGAGUCCUUUGAUACCAAUAAGAACUUACCGAUCUGUGAGGGAGUCAGACCCUUCUUGGCCAGUUUGAAGAUUUGCUCUUUAACAUCAUCGGAUGUCAGCUUGAGCCACUAAAAUACAAGACAACUGACUAUUUUAACAGCCUUAACCAUUUAGAUUUGCAUUAUCGUUCCACACAAUUCUGAAUCAGUGGACUUACUGUGGGGACACUUCGUCUAUAGGGCAGCGCCGACUGGGACAAACCCUUGCUAAAAAAAUAAAGCAUUUAACAGUUAAAUACAUUGUCCAUAAUGAAACCGUAAAUUACAACUUAUACAAAAACUCCCUUUACCUUCCGUAAGCCACAGUGUAAACAUGUUAACUGAUAACAGGACAUAUAUAUAAAGCAUAGAUAAGUGAACAAAAUGGUAUCUUAAAUCUAUAGUGAACUUGAAAUUAGAGUUUGACUAUUUAAUGCUCUGAUGAAUGCAUAAAAACAAUUUAGGAGGUGGUCUGAUAAGCCCUAACUAACCGCCGAGCACAUCUGACACACAAACGUUAAAAUAAGCGACAUUCUACCAGAACAAUCAGACCGCAGAUAAACGGUCAAUGUGAACUGAAUCAGUGAGUAAAGAUCCUUCACGUGCCCGUCCCGCAGCGCCUCAGUCUACAUGUGCUGCCCUCGCGCUAGACAGGGGAAGAGAACGUGGGACUAACUGUACUCUCAAAACCUCUUCUCUAGCUCCAGUGGAAAUACAUAUUCCAGACUCAGCAUAUGUCAUAAAGAGUUAACAGUAUUUUGGGUUGGUAGUGUGGCCUAUAGAGUGUGUUUUUAGCGUAAAAUAGACGUUUACCCAGGAGCGUGCAUACGACCCAUGAUGGCGGUUUUGCG
Long non-coding RNA from Cyprinus carpio carpio, 1648 nucleotides. NCBI's taxonomy places the organism in Eukaryota, Metazoa, Chordata, Actinopteri, Cypriniformes, Cyprinidae. The record is from Ensembl.